UCUCCUUCUUUAGUUAUCUCCCUUUCUCCUUCUUUAUCAUCUCCUCUCUCUCCUUCUUUAGUCGUCUCCCUCUCUCCUUCUUUAGUUAUCUCCCUCUCUCCUUAUUUAGUUAUCUCCCUCUCUCCUUCUUUAGUCGUCUCCCCCUCUCCUUCUUUAGUUAUCUCCCUUUCUCCUUCUUUAGUUAUCUCCCUCUCUCCUUCUUUAGUCGUCUCCCCCUCUCCUUCUUUAGUUAUCUCCCUCUCUCCUUAUUUAGUUGUCUCCCUCUCUCCCUCUCUCCUUCAUUUACUCUGUUGAACAGACAUACACAAAAUGCCUACACACAUUUCUAUAGCGAAAUGUACAUGUUUCGUACAUCAAAGGAAUGAGAAAAUAACAACAAUGAAUGUGUAAUAAACAACAAAACCAGAGGCAAAUCAACAGAGCUGGUUUCCCAUGGCAACGGGCGGGGAGCAGUAAUCUGAGAGCUGGUUUCCCACGGCAACGGGCGGGGAGCAGUAAUCUGAGAGCUGGUUUCCCAUGGCAAUGGGCGGGGAGCAGUAAUCUGAGAGCUGGUUUCCCAUGGC
Long non-coding RNA from Oncorhynchus tshawytscha (Chinook salmon), 563 nucleotides. NCBI's taxonomy places the organism in Eukaryota, Metazoa, Chordata, Actinopteri, Salmoniformes, Salmonidae. The record is from Ensembl.